RNAcentral lists this ribosomal RNA (519 nucleotides) under uncultured Glomeraceae. RNAcentral's name for it is "SSU rRNA". It matches the Rfam family "Eukaryotic small subunit ribosomal RNA", at positions 569 to 1092 of the family's 1831-position model. The record is from RNAcentral. Lineage: Eukaryota; Fungi; Glomeromycota; Glomeromycetes; Glomerales; Glomeraceae.
AGCAGCCGCGGUAAUUCCAGCUCCAAUAGCGUAUAUUAAAGUUGCUGCAGUUAAAAGCUCGUAGUUGAAUUUCGGGAUCAAUAUGUCGGUCGUGCCUCGGUACGUACUGGCUUAUUGGUUUUUCCUUUCUGAAGAACCAUGAUGUCAUUUAUUUGGUGUCGUGGGAAAUCAGGACUGUUACUUUGAAAAAAUUAGAGUGUUUAAAGCAGGCUCACGCUUGAAUACAUUAGCAUGAAAUAAUGAAAUAGGACGUUUGAUUCUAUUUUGUUGGUUUCUAGGAUCGACGUAAUGAUUAAUAGGGAUAGUUGGGGGCAUUAGUAUUCAAUUGUCAGAGGUGAAAUUCUUGGAUUUAUUGAAGACUAACUACUGCGAAAGCAUUUGCCAAGGAUGUUUUCAUUAAUCAAGAACGAAAGUUAGGGGAUCGAAGACGAUCAGAUACCGUCGUAGUCUUAACCAUAAACUAUGCCGACUAGGGAUCGGAUGAUGUUAAUUUUUUAAUGACUCAUUCGGCGCCUUACG